Biomphalaria glabrata is the source of this 3865-nucleotide long non-coding RNA. RefSeq lists it as uncharacterized. The transcript has 2 exons. The record is from RefSeq and is a predicted model, not a curated record. Lineage: Eukaryota; Metazoa; Mollusca; Gastropoda; Planorbidae.
GCUAGUGUGCACCUUUUCUUGUCCAUAAGAAAAAUGAGAUUUAUGAAAUAUGAAUUUUUGGUCUUGUGAAAUCCAACCCCUUUCCCGCAUUUCAAGCAACUUAGAUAAAACCGUUUCCAUUGCGCCAACGUAUACAAAUAAUAGCCUAUACUCAGAAAUCGUGUAUUGCUUUGAAAUUUAUCCCAAAUGUCAAGCUUGAUAGUGUAUCUUCAAUUGUUAUGAGAGAUUUUGGCGGAUCCUUUGUUCUGCCAUUAGCCCCAUAAACACCAGAAGUCCCAGAAUGCAAGAGAGCAUUGUACAAAUCCAAGAAAAGAAAUUCCGAAUACUUUAAGUAAUAAAUCCAACAAGAAUAAUCUGAUAAAAUCACAACAUUGAAAACAAGUAAAAUAGAUGCCUGGUCUUGUGGUAUGUGCUCUGGACUGUCGUCUCAAUGAUCCCGGGUUCGAUCCCUGCCCGAUGUCAUCUCGUACUUCGGGACGUUUCGGCUUCAUUUCUGAAACAGUACCCCAAACUUCUUCUUGGUUCUCAUUUUACAUGUAAGAGGGUUCAGAUCAGUAAUCCUAUAUAAGAGAUGAGCCGCGCAGUGGUGUCCAGAUCAGGCAGUUCUCCGUAUAGUUUUUUUUUAUCCCAAACAAUAUAGAACAUAUAAACUAAAUAAGUCAACUGAAGCUGUGAAAUAAUGAACCUAUAAAAGCUAAUAAAAUCUACCAUAACAACUGAAGAUAGGCCUACACUCAAUCAAGACAACUCGUUAACAAGACUCAAUUUUUAAUGGCUUGUGAUAAUGUCUCUACACUUUUACUUUUGUUUGUCAUAGUCUCAUUAAAACAAAAAAUCAAGCAAAGUCUGAAAUAGAUUUAUAUGAACUUAACAAAAGUAGAGAUCCACAAAAAGCACACACAAAAAAAAAGGGUUGCGCCAGGAGGACAAUUUUUUUUAAUGAUGAUGCCGCCAAGUCUGCCGUCAGGAGAGGCCAACAAGGACUCUAGUCCGCUUUUUUUUUUUUUAUGAAUCUUGUGUAUGUAUUUGAAGUUUUUUGGGCCUUUUUUUUUUUAUGGGGGUGGGGGGUGCACAUAUUCCCAGCUGUCUGAUGCCCAAAUAAGUCUGGUGGCGGGUCAGAUGUGUUAGACACCUUAUUUAUAUAGGUUAGUUAUUUUAGUUAUUUAGCGACGCACCAUAGUAGACGCAUAUUGAACGGGACUAGUGACGUUUGGGAUAUGUUGGGUUAGAGACCGGAAAAUCAGUUAGCGAUAGAACAUUCCAGGGUAACGACGUGUUUAGUGACAGAGACUUCUACUGUGGCCCUUUUAUCAUAAUAAAUACAUGUUGAAUAGUUCAUCAGAGUCGACUACAUCUCUUCACUAGUUAAAAUAGAUGUGCCAGUUCUUGUUUGUGUUGUAGUUCAACUGCACGUAAUACACCCGGACAAUUACACCCAAACGAUUGCAGAGUAAUUGGUUGACUUCAAGACAGCCUGAACUAGCAACAUCACAGUGGCGACCCCGAACCUCGAAGCCGGACCCCUGUUGAAGCCGAACAUCGAACCGAACCUCGAAGCCGGACCCCUGAUGAAGCUGAACAUCGAACCGGACUUCGAAGCAGAACGUUUACUCAGGUGAGGGUCGUGCACUCGAAGAUAUAAGAUUUCAUCGGAGUACGGCUGAACACAGCAGUAUCGCAGAGUGACUUUGUUCUAGAUCUACAUACAGUCAUCGCCUGUUUGAUCGCACGUUCAACGAGCCGUUAACUCAGGGUGACCUUCGUCAGGACCGUAAUCAUCGCAACGCCUGAUCUUCAUAUGCUGAAUCGACCUACAGCCAGAGAAACCGUUCAUUCAUAACGGGUGAGAGAUCGUUAGUGAACCUGUUGGACAUAUUUUUUCUUCGUCAUAGGAGCCACAUUGAGUAUCAAGUUUUACCUCGUCAGUUUCGAGAAGGACAGUUUACCCGCUGUCAGAAGUAUUGUGAGUACUACAAGUUUGGUAGCUAACUAAAUCGAAAUCGCUCUGUCGUCUUACCCUUGGAGAGAUUCUUGUGGAGCAGUUUGCUCAUUGAACCGGUUGCUUGCCACGUUUAUAACGGUCACUGUGUUUAACCUUUGGAAGGUUAGUGAAGUAAUCUUUAUCAGUACUGAACAUUGAUAUAUCUAGUAUUCGUCGGUCUAGACCAUAUCUAGACUUGUUGAUAUUGCAGUUGUGGAAACAGCUACAUCCACUUAAUUUCGUUGAAAACCGUUAAUCGUCUAACGGAACGUCGUCGGAGGUGACCUUGGUCUCACCUAGUCUACAUUGGACAGUUUGGUCUAUUGAAGCAGAGUAUAACAGCAAACUUCGUCGUACUACCAGAGUAGCAGCAGAAGCAGUGAACUAUUUUAGAGAACCGUUAUUCGUCAGCCCAGAUCAAGUCAUCGUCAAGAAAGCCGUUAUUCGUCAGCCCAGAUCAAGUCAUCGUCAAGAAAUUCGUUAUUCGUCAGUCGUCCAGAUCAAGUUGUCGUCAAGAGACUGUUAUUUGUCAGUAGUCGUCUACACAAGUCAAGUCAUCGCCAGAAGAACCGUUAACCUAUUCGUCAGUAACUGUGUACACAAGGUCGUCGGAACUACACAUACGGUCAUCAACAGUCGUCGAAGAAACUGGAACAUUUUGCUGUGGCAUAUCAGGACAUCUGUGGCAUUACGUGGGAUACUGGUAGCACCGGAGAACAGAGUCAGAACUGGAAGAGAGGCAGUGGAAUUUGUUGUGAUCUAACAUAUUCGGGAGUCCGAACAAAGGGAUCUUUCUUAUCAAAAGCUAAGUGCCAUUUUUCUUAUUAGUAUAUGUUUAGAUUGCCCUUAGAAAUAGAUUUUGUCUAAAUUUGGUACGUUAGCCUGAGUAAAAUCAGGUGGUGCGCCUUAAAACCCGUCGGGGUAGAAGACGUAAUUUAGAUGAAAAGCUAUAUUAUACGUUUAGGGUUGUAAUUUGUUUUGUUUGUGCAAACGUCAUAUCCGUUGUUGCCUGGUUACUUCGUGACGUUAUCAUUGUGUGCCAUAUUGUCACAUCCCAACCCAUAGUGAUAGUCUCAUUUAAUUAUUUCAUUUGUUUAUAUUAUUUUAAAUUAUUUAUUUUUAUUAAUUUAAUUAGAUCUGUAUUUUUUUUUCACUUAAUGAUAGAAAGUGCGGGUAGGAUUCUUUUACUGUGAAUCAGACUAAAAUAAUUUUAGUUUGAGCGGUUAAAAUCAAAUAUGAUUUUGCCAUGAGAAUAAUGCCGAAACUGGCUAUGUAGUCAAACACUGUCGUCUGGCUAAAUUUAGAUCUGCAAAUUGUUGUACAUCUCUUUGGUACAAUUUAAUUAUCUAGACUCUACUUUGAAAUAUUAUUAAGUUGAAGAUGAAUGAAGAUUACUGCCAGUGAAGAACAUUUGAGAUGUAUAGGACGUGCCCAUAAGAUGCCACAUUUUCCUCCAUGAUGAACUAUGUACCAAUGAAGAUGAUUCUGGAAUGUUAUGAACUGUUAUGAACAUUGACAUGAAUAUGAGGAACUGUCAAGAUGAAGAUGUCAAGAUGAAGAGAUCAAGAUUUUAUGUUUGUGGUCUUCCCCUUAAAUUGAAAAUGCCCUUGUAAGACUUGACAGUAGUGGAAAAAUAUUGACAUAUUUUUUUUUCAAGGGGGGGAGGAAUCUGUUAGACACCUUAUUUAUAUAGGUUAGUUAUUUUAGUUAUUUAGCGACGCACCAUAGUAGACGCAUAUUGAACGGGACUAGUGACGUUUGGGAUAUGUUGGGUUAGAGACCGGAAAAUCAGUUAGCGAUAGAACAUUCCAGGGUAACGACGUGUUUAGUGACAGAGACUUCUACUGUGGCCCUUUUAUCAUAAUAAAUACAUGUUGAAUAGUU